CCUUUCCUCUCAGACCCAAAAUCACUUCUGUUCUCUCUCCUCUCACCACUCGACUUCAUAAACCAAACCAUUCCUUUUCCGCUAUUUAACCAAAAUCCAAUCUUUGAACACAAACCAAGCCCAUAAUUUUCGUGGGUUUUCCGGGAAAGCAAUUGGGUUUUUGUUUGAAAGGAAGUUAAGGGUUUUGUGAAUGCAAAAAGAGGAUGGCGUUGAUGAAGCUGGGGAGCAGAGUAGAGGGGAGAGUACUAUGCCGGAGCGGUUUAGGUGCUUGACCUAAGAAACUCCUGACCAUCCUCUGAGGUGGCCUUUGUUUCUGGAUGACCCAGCACAAUGUUGCAGCCUUGGUGCUCGUGAAACCUGGAGAGCAAAAUCCAUUGCAGGAAUCAUAACAGAGAGAGAUAUUUUCGCCAUGCUUCAUGUGAGAUGUAUGACAUUUCUCAAGGUCUGGCCAAAUUUGUUUGAAUAAAUAGAGAUAUUCUCCGUACCUAUGCGCAUGAUGAUGUCAGUGUCGGAUCUUGGUUUAUUGGGCUUGAUGUUAAACAUCUUAAUGACGCCAAGUUUUGCUGCUCCUCUUGGACAGGAGGAGCCAUUUGUGCUGGUGUAUGAUUUGAUUUGCUUUGAGGUGGUGGAUCAAAGUAAAACCAGAUGCAAGGAGAUGGGUUAAAAGACAUUGGAUUCAUAUCGAUCCGUGAGAUGUUUGCAGCCUGCACAAUAUAGAGUAUGAAGAUUGAGGAAAAAUCAUAGUUGUGAUUGAGAAUUUAUUCCAGUGUCUUACCCGUAGGUGAAGUAGCUUUGUUCCCAUUACAGUACACUGCAGAUAGGAAAGAAAGGAUUUCAACAAAUUAUGCUUAGUUGGCAGUCGGUACUUUAUAGGUUCAGUAACACAAAUUUUACAGUGUAAUAGAGGGUGUUCUUAUCGCAACAUAAUCACUCAUUUCUUUUGUAGCAUGUUAAUUUGCCUUGGGUUAUUCAUUAUUCAGAGCAGUAAAAAUUUU
Molecule: long non-coding RNA, 995 nt
Organism: Rosa rugosa (rugosa rose)
Lineage: Eukaryota; Viridiplantae; Streptophyta; Magnoliopsida; Rosales; Rosaceae
Exons: 5
Source: RefSeq, a predicted model, not a curated record